UACAGGGGGGGCAAGCGUUGUCCGGAAUCACUGGGCGUAAAGGGCGCGUAGGCGGCUCAUGAAGGCUGUGGUGAAAGUCCGGGGCUCAACCUCGGAUCGGCCGUGGCGACUCGUGGGCUGGAGCACUGUAGAGGCGGGUGGAAUUCCGGGUGUAGCGGUGGGAUGCGUAGAGAUCCGGAAGAACACCAGUGGCGAAGGCGGCCCGCUGGGCAGUGGCUGACGCUGAAGCGCGACAGCGUGGGGAGCAAACAGG
This 253-nucleotide ribosomal RNA is filed under the name uncultured bacterium. RNAcentral describes it as "partial 16S ribosomal RNA". It matches the Rfam family "Bacterial small subunit ribosomal RNA", at positions 524 to 776 of the family's 1533-position model. The record is from RNAcentral.